Molecule: ribosomal RNA, 468 nt
Filed under: uncultured bacterium
Lineage: Bacteria
Description: partial 16S ribosomal RNA
Rfam family: Bacterial small subunit ribosomal RNA
Source: RNAcentral
GACGAACGCUGGCGGCGUGCUUAACACAUGCAAGUCGAACGGAAAGGCCCUGCUUUUGUGCGGUGCUCGAGUGGCGAACGGGUGAGUAACACUUGAGUAACCUGCCCCUGACUUUGGGAUAACUUCAUGAAACUGGGGCUCAUACCGGCUAGGAUCUCCCGCUGCAUGGUGGGGGUUGGAUGGUUUCGGCGGUUGGGGAUGGACUCGCGGCUCAUCAGCUUGUUGGUGGGGUAGUGGCUUACCAAGGCUUUGACGGGUAGCCGGCCUGAGAGGAUAACCGGCCACGUUGGGCCUGGACUGAGACCCGGCCUACACCGGUACGCAGCGGUGGAGAAUAUUGCACAGUGGGCGGAAGCCUGGUGUAGCAACGCCGCGUGCGGGAUGUCGGCAAUCGGGUAGUAAACCGCUUUCGCCUGUGCCGAAACGUGAGUGACGGUAAUGGGUGAAGAAGCACCGGCUAACUACGUG